This 1023-nucleotide long non-coding RNA is filed under the name Oryctolagus cuniculus (rabbit). Its description in RNAcentral is "lncRNA (ENSOCUG00000032846.1)". Lineage: Eukaryota; Metazoa; Chordata; Mammalia; Lagomorpha; Leporidae. The record is from RNAcentral.
AUGGUCCAGGCAUCUGGUGAGCGUCAGGUGGGCCUGUUUCCGUGGAACUUGGAUGUGUGGUCACGAGCGAGCAGGCUUCAGUUGAUGAGACAGAGACGUGCGUGUGCCUCAAAACCUCCCGGCCCCUCUGUCUACCACCCUUUCCAUUUGUGUGAGCCUGGGGCGGGACGGGGAGGGGGGCUGCGUCCCACCGUGGCAGCGCAGGACGGACGCUGGCCCUGGUCCUGCUGCCGCUGCCUGAGGAGGCUCCUGGCAGGGGAGGAGGGCACAGUGGGGCAGCCGCAGACGCUGCAGCCGGUGGGUGUGGUCACGGAGACGGCGGCUCUGCCAGUGUGGACGUCGGGAGGGCUGGGCCCUCAGCUGCUUAACUGUGUGGACAGGCUCUGUGGGGUGGGGGGUCGCAGACGUCUGGGGUGGCGUCUGCGGGGUGGGACCCCGUGGCCCAGUGCAGGGCUCCUGAGCAGGGGCCUGAUUCGCACUUCCCGGGGGAGAGCCCGGCCCCGGUGGCACCGGCAGCCCCGAGGCACACUGGAGGCUCCUUCUCAGGGAGCAGCAGGCUGCGUUCUUGCAGGAUCUUCCCGGGACGGGCCCGCCUCCGGAGAAGCCCAGCCUGGUCGCUGUGCCCGGCCUGGUCUAACCACAGCCCACAGCCGGCAGACACCAGGGCCGAGGUGGGCAUGCAGGUCCAACUCAAGAACCAGCGCCGCCCGUGUCUGCCUGCGGGUGGCGGCCCUCGGACCAGCACCCAGCGCGGCCUUCUUCAGCAGGGGUUGCGGCUCUGUCUCCCUGGCUCGGUGUGGACAGCCCUUCCCGAAGAGGCAGGGCCAUUCUAGAACCAACCGGAACUCUCAGGAAGUGUGCGGCCCGCGCUGGCAGAUGAGCGCGGUGACUGGUAAGAGCUGGAGGAAGAGGCGCUGUGGCCUUGGCUCCCCGGGGCGCACUCAGCCUGCAGGCGUGCAGGACAGCCUCCUGCGCUGGCCUCAGCUUUCACACGGCCCUGGCCUCACCACGCACGCGGCGUGA